RNAcentral lists this ribosomal RNA (614 nucleotides) under Scheffersomyces tanahashii. RNAcentral describes it as "partial large subunit ribosomal RNA". It matches the Rfam family "Eukaryotic large subunit ribosomal RNA", at positions 37 to 668 of the family's 3401-position model. Lineage: Eukaryota; Fungi; Ascomycota; Pichiomycetes; Serinales; Debaryomycetaceae. The record is from RNAcentral.
UGCAUAUCCAAAAAGCGGAGGAAAAGAAACCAACAGGGAUUGCCUUAGUAACGGCGAGUGAGCGGCAAAAGCUCAAAUUUGAAAUCUGGCACCUUCGGUGUCCGAGUUGUAAUUUGAAGAAGGUAACUUUGGAGUUAGCUCUUGUCUAUGUUCCUUGGAACAGGACGUCACAGAGGGUGAGAAUCCCGUGCGAUGAGAUGUCUAACUCUAUGUAAAGUGCUUUCGAAGAGUCGAGUUGUUUGGGAAUGCAGCUCUAAGUGGGUGGUAAAUUCCAUCUAAAGCUAAAUAUUGGCGAGAGACCGAUAGCGAACAAGUACAGUGAUGGAAAGAUGAAAAGAACUUUGAAAAGAGAGUGAAAAAGUACGUGAAAUUGUUGAAAGGGAAGGGUUUGAGAUCAGACUUGGUAUUUUGUAUGUCUUGCUUUCGGGUGGGGCCUCUGCAGUUUACUGGGCCAGCAUCGGUUUGGAUGGUAGGAUAAUGACAUUGGAAUGUGGCACUACUUCGGUGGUGUGUUAUAGACUUUGUUGAUACUGCCUGUCUAGACCGAGGACUGCGUCUUUGACUAGGAUGCUGGCAUAAUGAUCCUAAACCGCCCGUCUUGAAACCACGGACCA